This 739-nucleotide ribosomal RNA is filed under the name groundwater metagenome. Its description in RNAcentral is "bacterial SSU rRNA". It matches the Rfam family "Bacterial small subunit ribosomal RNA", at positions 692 to 1431 of the family's 1533-position model. The record is from RNAcentral.
AGAGAUGUGGAGGAAUACCAGUGGCGAAGGCGGCCACCUGGACAGUAACUGACGCUGAGGCGCGAAAGUGUGGGUAGCAAACAGGAUUAGAUACCCUGGUAGUCCACGCCCUAAACUAUGUCAACUGGUUGUCGGGGGAUUAAUUCCCUUGGUAACGAAGCUAACGCGUGAAGUUGACCGCCUGGGGAGUACGGCCGCAAGGUUAAAACUCAAAGGAAUUGACGGGGACCCGCACAAGCGGUGGAUUAUGUGGAUUAAUUCGAUGCAACGCGAAAAACCUUACCUACCCUUGACAUGCUAGGAAGCUCGCAGAGAUGUGAGUGUGCCCGAAAGGGAACCUAGACACAGGUGCUGCAUGGCUGUCGUCAGCUCGUGUCGUGAGAUGUUGGGUUAAGUCCCGCAACGAGCGCAACCCUUGUCAUUAGUUGCUACAUUGAGUUGGGCACUCUAAUGAGACUGCCGGUGACAAACCGGAGGAAGGUGGGGAUGACGUCAAGUCCUCAUGGCCCUUAUGGGUAGGGCCUCACACGUAAUACAAUGGCCGGUACAGAGGGCUGCCAACCCGCGAGGGGGAGCUAAUCUCAGAAAGCCGGUCGUAGUCCGGAUUGUUCUCUGCAACUCGAGAGCAUGAAGUUGGAAUCGCUAGUAAUCGCGGAUCAGCAUGUCGCGGUGAAUACGUUUCCGGGGCUUGUACACACCGCCCGUCACACCAUGGGAGUGGGUUCCACCAGAAGUAGGU